Molecule: small nuclear RNA, 104 nt
Organism: Molossus molossus (Pallas's mastiff bat)
Lineage: Eukaryota; Metazoa; Chordata; Mammalia; Chiroptera; Molossidae
Source: RefSeq, a predicted model, not a curated record
GUGCUCACUUGGGCAGCUCAUUUACUAAAACUGGAACGAUACAGAGAUUACCACGGCCCCUGCACAAGGAAGACAUGCACAUUUGCGAAGCAUUCCAUAUUAAA